RNAcentral lists this small RNA (554 nucleotides) under Pan troglodytes (chimpanzee). RNAcentral's name for it is "retained intron". The record is from RNAcentral. Lineage: Eukaryota; Metazoa; Chordata; Mammalia; Primates; Hominidae.
AGGAGCUGUUAAAAGGUUAUCACUUAGUUAUGCUGGGGAAAGAGUGGGUGGGAUUAUAAAAGUCAAUUUAACAGCACACAUGAAUUAGGCCCUCUGGUAGAUUUGAAAAUUCCUGCCAACAAGACACGGUGGACUUUAAAAAAUUUAAAUUUCAGCACUCGAUAUAAGUUUUAUUUCUAUGCACAAACAUCAGCAGGAUCAGGAAGUCAAAUUACAGAGGAAGCAGUAACAACUGUGGAUGAAGCGAUGGCAAGCCGGCAGGUGGAUAUUGCAACUCAGGGCUGGUUCAUUGGUCUAAUGUGUGCUGUUGCUCUCCUUAUCUUAAUUUUGCUGAUUGUUUGCUUCAUCAGAAGAAACAAGGGUGGUAAAUAUCCAGUUAAAGAAAAGGAAGAUGCCCAUGCUGACCCUGAAAUCCAGCCUAUGAAGGAAGAUGAUGGGACAUUUGGAGAAUACAGUGACGCAGAAGACCACAAGCCUUUGAAAAAAGGAAGUCGAACUCCUUCAGACAGGACUGUGAAAAAAGAAGAUAGUGACGAUAGCCUAGUUGACUAUGG